This 842-nucleotide ribosomal RNA is filed under the name uncultured Thauera sp. RNAcentral's name for it is "partial 16S ribosomal RNA". It matches the Rfam family "Bacterial small subunit ribosomal RNA", at positions 1 to 796 of the family's 1533-position model. Lineage: Bacteria; Pseudomonadati; Pseudomonadota; Betaproteobacteria; Rhodocyclales; Zoogloeaceae. The record is from RNAcentral.
UUUUUUUAGCACUUUGUCAAAAGCAGGCUCCGAAUUCGCCCUUAGAGUUUGAUCAUGGCUCAGAUUGAACGCUGGCGGCAUGCCUUACACAUGCAAGUCGAACGGCAGCGCGGGAUUCCUUGUUAUCCUGACUGCCAAAGGGGUAAGUAAUACUACGGAACGUGCCCCUUCCCGGUCGAUAACGAUAACAACUGUCACACUGUUGCCACUUCCGCCCUCACCCUGAAAGCGAAAGAUUCUUACCAUCCUCCCUACCUUGAAUGGAUCCACCCACUGAUUAAUUAGCUGGUUGGGGAAAUGACUACUCACCCAACCAUCUAUCUCUAGCCUGACAGAAAGAACCACCACCCUCGCUGUAACUCACACCCCGUACUCACUCCUACGGCAGGCAUGAGUAAUUAUUAUUGCUGAGUGCGACAAACCUCCAUCCAUCCCUGCCGAGUGAAUAAAGACUGCCUUCUGGUUAUCUCUUUCUUUCGGUCAGAAAUAAGGGAAUCAAACUUAUACUCUGUAUCACUGACCCUACCUACAAAACACCCACCAACUACCUCCCUGCCACCACCCUAAUACAUACGGAGCGAGCGUUCAUCAAUACUUACUGACUGUACAUCAAGCGCACGCAGUUUUGUGAAACAGAUAUAUAAUCCACCCCCUUACUCUGCCAGCUAACUGUGUUACUAACUGGCUAAAUAAAGUCUUGAAGAGGGGGAAUUACUGCCGGAGCAUCGAAUUACAUGCAUAUAGAUCUGAACGACUAUCGGUGGCGAAGCCCCCUGCCUCUAGAACGACUGCUCACUGCACGAGAGCAAGCGGAGCAAACAAAAUAAAUACAUUCGCUGUUC